This 548-nucleotide ribosomal RNA is filed under the name uncultured bacterium. RNAcentral's name for it is "bacterial SSU rRNA". It matches the Rfam family "Bacterial small subunit ribosomal RNA", at positions 356 to 896 of the family's 1533-position model. The record is from RNAcentral.
GGGGAAUUUUGGACAAUGGGCGCAAGCCUGAUCCAGCCAUGCCGCGUGUCUGAAGAAGGCCUUCGGGUUGUAAAGGACUUUUGUCAGGGAAGAAAAGGCUGUUGCUAAUACCGACAGCUGAUGACGGUACCUGAAGAAUAAGCACCGGCUAACUACGUGCCAGCAGCCGCGGUAAUACGUAGGGUGCGAGCGUUAAUCGGAAUUACUGGGCGUAAAGCGAGCGCGGACGGUUACUUAAGCAGGAUGUGAAAUCCCCGGGCUCAACCUGGGAACUGCGUUCUGAACUGGGUGACUAGAGUGUGUCAGAGGGAGGUAGAAUUCCACGUGUAGCAGUGAAAUGCGUAGAGAUGUGGAGGAAUACCGAUGGCGAAGGCAGCCUCCUGGGAUAACACUGACGUUCAUGCUCGAAAGCGUGGGUAGCAAACAGGAUUAGAUACCCUGGUAGUCCACGCCCUAAACGAUGUCAAUUAGCUGUUGGGCAACUUGAUUGCUUAGUAGCGUAGCUAACGCGUGAAAUUGACCGCCUGGGGAGUACGGCCGCAAGGUUA